This 460-nucleotide ribosomal RNA is filed under the name uncultured bacterium. RNAcentral's name for it is "partial 16S ribosomal RNA". It matches the Rfam family "Bacterial small subunit ribosomal RNA", at positions 338 to 795 of the family's 1533-position model. The record is from RNAcentral.
CCUACGGGAGGCAGCAGUGAGGAAUAUUGGUCAAUGGACGAGAGUCUGAACCAGCCAAGUAGCGUGAAGGAUGACUGCCCGAUGGGUUGUAAACUUCUUUUAUAUGGGAAUAAAAUGUUCCACGUGUGGGAUUCUGUAUGUACCAUAUGAAUAAGGAUCGGCUAACUCAGUGCCAGCAGCCGCGGUAAUACGGAGGAUCAGAGCGGUAGCCGGAUUUAUUGGGUUUAAAGGGAGCGUAGGUGGCUUGUUAAGUCAGUUGUGAAAGUUUGCGGCUCAACCUUAAAAUUGCAGUUGAAACUGGCAGUCUUGAGUACACUAGAGGUGGGCGGAAUUCGUGGUGUAGCGGUGAAAUGCUUAGAUAUCACGAAGAACUCCGAUUGCGAAGGCAGCUCACUGGACUGCAACUGACACUGAGGCUCGAAAGUGUGGGUAUCAAACAGGAUUAGAUACCCUAGUAGUC